UGAAUAUUUUCCUUCUGAACCAGGGUUCUGCAUCCACUACAACAUUGUCAUGCCACAAUUCACAGAAGCUGUGAGUCCUUCAGUGCUACCCCCUUCAGCUUUGCCACUGGACCUGCUUAAUAAUGCUAUAACUGCCUUUCGUACCUUGGAAGACCUUAUUCGAUAUCUUGAACCAGAGAGAUGGCAGGUGGACUUAGAAGAUCUAUAUAGGCCAACUUGGCAACUUCUUGGCAAGGCUUUUGUUUUUGGAAGAAAAUCCAGAGGAGAUAAUUAUGAAAAGGAAAAAAAUCUGAAGACCAACUUUUACAAAUAUUUGGCAGAGGGAAACUUCCUUAAUAUUAUAGUUAAGCUAUUCAAAAAGUAUGCUUUGGUACAUUAUCUUUCUUUUUUCUUUUCCUUUUUCUCUUUAUUUUAUUUGCCUUUCCCCCUCUAAAAGUACUAUACAAUGUUUCAAGAAUAUAUGACAUAUGACUUAACGAAGCUUAUAUGCAUUUGAAGCCUUAGCAGUAGGCAGCAUAAAUUUCAAAAUGAAAUGCCAAAUUUAAAAUCCUUAGUUAUAUUUUUAGAAAACUGUGGACUGCAUAAAUGCUUUACUUUUUUUUCUUUCACUUUCUUCCUCUAGUUCAGGGUUUUCAUUCAUACCUUGCUACUGCUACAAAAAAAAUACUGUAUUUUCUAAGUCAAGCUUAACUAGUGCGUAAAAAGGGCUUUUGACUUUUGUGUC
Molecule: small RNA, 724 nt
Filed under: Pongo abelii (Sumatran orangutan)
Lineage: Eukaryota; Metazoa; Chordata; Mammalia; Primates; Hominidae
Description: processed transcript
Source: RNAcentral